AGAGUUUGAUCCUGGCUCAGAACGAACGCUGGCGGCAGGCCUAACACAUGCAAGUCGAACGUGAAGCCACCUUCGGGUGGUGGAAAGUGGCAGACGGGUGAGUAACGCGUGGGAACGUGCCUUUCGGUUCGGAAUAACCCAGGGAAACUUGGGCUAAUACCGGAUACGCCCUUCGGGGGAAAGAUUCAUCGCCGAAAGAUCGGCCCGCGUCGGAUUAGCUAGUUGGUAGGGUAAUGGCCUACCAAGGCGACGAUCCGUAGCUGGUCUGAGAGGAUGACCAGCCACACUGGGACUGAGACACGGCCCAGACUCCUACGGGGGGCAGCAGUGGGGAAUAUUGGACAAUGGGCGAAAGCCUGAUCCAGCCAUGCCGCGUGGGUGAAGAAGGCCUUAGGGUUGUAAACCCCUUUCAGCGGGGAAGAUAAUGACGGUACCCGCAGAAGAAGCCCCGGCUAACUCCGUGCCAGCAGCCGCGGUA
This 478-nucleotide ribosomal RNA is filed under the name uncultured Pseudomonadota bacterium. RNAcentral's name for it is "bacterial SSU rRNA". It matches the Rfam family "Bacterial small subunit ribosomal RNA", at positions 8 to 522 of the family's 1533-position model. The record is from RNAcentral. Lineage: Bacteria; Pseudomonadati; Pseudomonadota.